AUUCAAAAAAAAAAAUAUAUAUAUAUAUAUACCAUACCGAUUUAAUUCCAGAUUAGGUCCGAGUCUUAGCAUUUAAAUUACUAAUAUAUCCAUCUAGUUUAUUUGAGCGGGCCUAGGUAAUAACUAUCUAUAUACUACUACUUGCUCGAGACUUGCUAUGAAUCAGGUCUAAUUCGGACACCGGUACCCGUAUGCAUAUAUUUUUUAGGUUAAUAAACUUUAAAUUUCUCACUUUAGUACCAUAUGGUUUAAAGUGUAUCAAUUUAGUGCCAUAUGAUUUUAUUUUUCUCUUUUUGUCAGUUUCUCCGCUAAUUUUUUGCUAAAUCAUAUAUAAAGAACUUCAGAUAUAUCGAGUAUUUACUUUAAUACUCUUUUGUUUUAAUUUUGUCAUUAAUUUAACAAAAAAAUUAGUGAAAGGGAUAACAAAAAGAGAAAUAAAAUUACAGGAGUACGAAAGUGAUACACUUUAAACCAUUGGGUACUAAAGUGAAAAAGGGCGAAACCACAGGAAUGGUAUUUGAAGUUUUUUCUAUUUUUUAUAGAUUUUAUUAAACUGUAG
This 559-nucleotide long non-coding RNA is filed under the name Ananas comosus (pineapple). RNAcentral describes it as "long non-coding RNA (ACOM_LNC010723)". The record is from RNAcentral. Lineage: Eukaryota; Viridiplantae; Streptophyta; Magnoliopsida; Poales; Bromeliaceae.